This 709-nucleotide ribosomal RNA is filed under the name Klebsiella michiganensis. Its description in RNAcentral is "partial 16S rRNA". The record is from RNAcentral. Lineage: Bacteria; Pseudomonadati; Pseudomonadota; Gammaproteobacteria; Enterobacterales; Enterobacteriaceae.
UGUCCAGGGGGCCGCCUUCGCCACCGGUAUUCCUCCAGAUCUCUACGCAUUUCACCGCUACACCUGGAAUUCUACCCCCCUCUACAAGACUCCAGCCUGCCAGUUUCGAAUGCAGUUCCCAGGUUGAGCCCGGGGAUUUCACAUCCGACUUGACAGACCGCCUGCGUGCGCUUUACGCCCAGUAAUUCCGAUUAACGCUUGCACCCUCCGUAUUACCGCGGCUGCUGGCACGGAGUUAGCCGGUGCUUCUUCUGCGGGUAACGUCAAUGAAUAAGGUUAUUAACCUCACUCCCUUCCUCCCCGCUGAAAGUACUUUACAACCCGAAGGCCUUCUUCAUACACGCGGCAUGGCUGCAUCAGGCUUGCGCCCAUUGUGCAAUAUUCCCCACUGCUGCCUCCCGUAGGAGUCUGGACCGUGUCUCAGUUCCAGUGUGGCUGGUCAUCCUCUCAGACCAGCUAGGGAUCGUCGCCUAGGUGAGCCGUUACCUCACCUACAAGCUAAUCCCAUCUGGGCACAUCCGAUGGCAAGAGGCCCGAAGGUCCCCCUCUUUGGUCUUGCGACGUUAUGCGGUAUUAGCUACCGUUUCCAGUAGUUAUCCCCCUCCAUCGGGCAGUUUCCCAGACAUUACUCACCCGUCCGCCACUCGUCACCCGAGAGCAAGCUCUCUGUGCUACCGUUCGACUUGCAUGUGUUAGGCCUGCCGCCAGC